UGGAUUUCAAGUAAUCAAGCAAUCAAAGGUGGUGAGCAUUCUGGCAAAAGUAAAGAAAUAGUACCCGAGGAUCAAGAAUCGAAGUACUCAAAAUUUGACUCCCAAAAUAGCUCAAGAUAGUCGGUAAAUAGCUCAUUUCGUUGUGGG
This 147-nucleotide small RNA is filed under the name Theobroma cacao (cacao). RNAcentral describes it as "sRNA Tc09v2_g017020". Lineage: Eukaryota; Viridiplantae; Streptophyta; Magnoliopsida; Malvales; Malvaceae. The record is from RNAcentral.